RNAcentral lists this long non-coding RNA (1314 nucleotides) under Lingula anatina. RNAcentral's name for it is "uncharacterized LOC106154123, transcript variant X1". The record is from RNAcentral. Lineage: Eukaryota; Metazoa; Brachiopoda; Lingulata; Lingulida; Lingulidae.
UCUGUUCACAGUUUAAUAACGAUAGGUCUCAAUGCUACUGAUAGAACGGGGAGUAGGCCGUUAAAAGGUCACUCAGGGAUGCAGAAUAUCGCGUACUGGUAUGCUCUUUGUUUGAGAACUGGACGUGAGAAAUAAUUCAACAUGGGUUCCAAGACAAAAACACUGGUUGCUGUCCUCCUCACUGCGACUGCCGUCUACAUCGCCACCCUCUACGUGGAUGAUUUUGAUCCCGCCAUGGUGAGAGGCAAGAGAGUGCUCAUUACCGGGGCGUCCUCUGGAAUUGGAGAACAGGUGGCGUAUCAUUUCGCCAAGAUGGGAGCAAACAUUGUUUUGACGGCGCGCAGAUAAAACCUCCUAAAAAAGGUCAUCGCAGAGUGUAACAAGUUAUCUCCGGCACCUGAGUCUAACCAUGUGUACACAGUAGCUGAUCUGAGAGACAUGGAGGAGACAGCUAGAGUUAUCAAGGUACACAGUACACACACACACACACACACACACACACACACAUUGAGCUGGGAGACAUGGAAGAGACAGCUAGGGUUAUCAAGGUACACAGUACACAUGUAAUAGGGUGAAACAUUACGAAAGCAUUCCCGCCUGUAAAAUAUUGUUGUAUGGUGAAACCAAUUGUGUUAGAGGUGACUAUACAGUGGGUCCCUCUAGUGUAAAAAAAGUGAGUAGUUCUAAAAGGUUGGAGAGUGUGUACUCCAUGCGGAGUUCUAACAUGUUUAUUGGCACACGUGUUUUCCAUGUUAGAGAGGGAAAUCCAUGCGGAGUUGUGAUACACACACGUGGAAGUAAUGUAAAACUGUGAAAUAAUAAUAAAAAAAAAAUUGAACCAGCAAGUUUUAUUACUUUAUCUACAACACUGCCCUUUUGGCGGUCACGUGUGCUUUGUUAGUCACGUGAGCGGGAAAUAUAAAUUACCCGCUCAACAGUAUUCUUGAGUUAUUUUUACUCACACUGUCACGUUGGCAUGUAUGUAUGUACAUGAAUAAAGAAGCUUAUUCUUCUGAGAUUCAGUCGAUGUUUGUUGUGAUACUCGGUUACAAAUGGCGCAGUCGACAGGAUUCAGCUUUUCCUGUUUUCAACGAUAUUGACGAUCCUCUGAACUUUACGGAGAUCUUGGGUAGAUAGCAAACAAACGGUGACUGUACUUCUCAGUUGAACAAUAGCACAUUCCAUCCACCGUAUGGGAGGGAACGGAUUUUCAACCAGUCACACCCUUCUACAAGGUGAGAUCUCAAAGUAAUCGUCAAUUUGUCAUCGUAACGACUGAUAGUUACCUGUACGUAAAGAUACACGAAGUGCUUA